GACGAACGCUGGCGGCGUGCUUAACACAUGCAAGUCGAACGGAAAGGCUCCAGCUUGCUGGAGUACUCGAGUGGCGAACGGGUGAGUAACACGUGGGUAAUCUGCCCUGCACUCUGGGAUAAGCCUGGGAAACUGGGUCUAAUACUGGAUAUGACCUUUCUCCUUAUGGGGUUUGGUGGAAAGUUUUUCGGUGUAGGAUGAGCCCGCGGCCUAUCAGCUUGUUGGUGGGGUGAUGGCCUACCAAGGCGACGACGAGUAGCCGGCCUGAGAGGGUGAUCGGCCACAUUGGGACUGAGAUACGGCCCAGACUCCUACGGGAGGCAGCAGUGGGGAAUAUUGCACAAUGGGCGGAAGCCUGAUGCAGCGACGCCGCGUGAGGGAUGACGGCCUUCGGGUUGUAAACCUCUUUCAGCAGGGACGAAGCGUAAGUGACGGUACCUGCAGAAGAAGCACCGGCUAACUAUGUG
This 467-nucleotide ribosomal RNA is filed under the name uncultured bacterium. RNAcentral's name for it is "partial 16S ribosomal RNA". It matches the Rfam family "Bacterial small subunit ribosomal RNA", at positions 28 to 507 of the family's 1533-position model. The record is from RNAcentral.